UGAGGAACAUGACUUUCGGUGGGGGAGUAGCCGGCCCAACGGCCGGGUAAUACCGCAUACGACCUGUUGGGGACAUCCCCGAUUGGUGAAAGCAGCAAUGCACCGAAAGAGUGCCUCGCGGCCUAUCAGCUAGUUGGUGGGGUAACGGCUCACCAAGGCGACGACGGGUAGCUGGUCUGAGAGGAUGGCCAGCCACAGUUGGGACUGAGACACGGCCCAGGCCUCCCGUACGGGGAGGNACGCG
Molecule: ribosomal RNA, 244 nt
Filed under: uncultured bacterium
Lineage: Bacteria
Description: partial 16S ribosomal RNA
Rfam family: Bacterial small subunit ribosomal RNA
Source: RNAcentral